CCAGUUUUUUCUGCUGAGGAACAAAAACCAACAAGUAAAAGGGCUGAAGUGAGGAAAAGACUGAGCAGGGGAGGGAGAGAAGGACUUUAGUCCCUACAUAUAGAGAGGCAGCUUCUUACACUCCUUCUUUUCAAAGGGGGGAAAGUGCACCAAGAUAUUUAUGACCUAGAUCACUUUUAGAGAAAUACUGAAUGACUAUUACUCAUGGGUACACACCUUGACAAGAAUGCAAAACUAAGGUUACCAUACUAGCUUCCUUCAGAAAAUUAUGCACUAAAAUAUUCCUAAAUAAUCAAGCAUUAGCUUAACUAAAAAAAUACAUAUCAAAAGGGGAAAACUGACAAAUCAGUAAAUGGAAAAUUUUAAAAUUAAGCCAGAAGUCAGUAUGGUUAUCAGUCACUAGCCUAAGUAGAAUGUCCUAAUGACUUACUGUGUAUCUUUACUUUAAUAAAUUCAGGCUUGUCAUUAUAUUGAUACUAUUUUAAGCACUAUGCCUAAAAAGAAUGAUAAUAUGGGAAAUCCUCAAUCUGUUAUUUCACUAGUUUGAAAUCUACACCUAUUUUAUAUUUGCUGAUCCAGAAAGCAGGUAACAUCAAGAUAACCAUGAAACUAGUAUAUAUAAUAGAGAACUGAAGAAGUUAUGUCACAUGGAAAGGAGGAAUAAUGACAAUAAAACAAGUGAUCUUGAAUGGUAUUUGAUUAAAGCAGGAAAAUGCAGAAAGUAAUUAGCAAAUUUAUGCAAUACAUAAAAGCAGAGACAGAAACAUACAUAGCAGGUCCAAUGAAAGCAAUAACUUUAGCUGUUAACCAGAGAGUAUUACUCAACCUGCAAGUACAGAAGCUGACAGCCAAGUGUAUUUUUAGGAGUUUAUGUACAGGAAUGAAAACACUGAAUACAGUUGAAAGAAAUAGUACCAAUUAUGAAUAUUACAUCCAUUCUUUGGGUAUAAUUUGCCCCCUUCCCCCUAAAGUCUACAGGGAUUUCAGAGUACAUUUUAGUCGAAGUACAGGUCCACAGUCGAGCAAUUUACUAUUUAUGACAAUAAAGCAUGUUGAGGCAUGA
RNAcentral lists this long non-coding RNA (1063 nucleotides) under Capra hircus (goat). RNAcentral describes it as "lncRNA (ENSCHIG00010005830.1)". Lineage: Eukaryota; Metazoa; Chordata; Mammalia; Artiodactyla; Bovidae. The record is from RNAcentral.